UUGUUGUACAAACACCAUGAAUACAAAAUCAGCAACAUGUAACGCAAAUUAUCAUCGCUUCUCUCUAAUGAAUUGUACAACUUGAUCCCUACUCUCAACAUAGAAGAAAAAGAGUAAAGAAACUAAAGAACAACCAAGUGACAAAAUCAAGUAGCUAGGUCUCUGUGGGUGUAGCUAAUCGCUUUAUCACCAUUUACUACUUGUCCGCUUCC
RNAcentral lists this long non-coding RNA (212 nucleotides) under Cicer arietinum (chickpea). RNAcentral describes it as "long non-coding RNA (CARI_LNC001691)". Lineage: Eukaryota; Viridiplantae; Streptophyta; Magnoliopsida; Fabales; Fabaceae. The record is from RNAcentral.